RNAcentral lists this transfer RNA (73 nucleotides) under Ruminococcus sp. RNAcentral's name for it is "tRNA-Thr". It matches the Rfam family "tRNA". From Rfam's summary of the family: Transfer RNA (tRNA) molecules are approximately 80 nucleotides in length. Their secondary structure includes four short double-helical elements and three loops (D, anti-codon, and T loops). The record is from RNAcentral. Lineage: Bacteria; Bacillati; Bacillota; Clostridia; Eubacteriales; Oscillospiraceae.
GCUGUUAUAGCUCAGUUGGUAGAGCACAUCCUUGGUAAGGAUGAGGUCACCGGUUCAAAUCCGGUUAACAGCU